Molecule: long non-coding RNA, 667 nt
Filed under: Homo sapiens (human)
Lineage: Eukaryota; Metazoa; Chordata; Mammalia; Primates; Hominidae
Description: non-protein coding lnc-C12orf76-2:1
Source: RNAcentral
GGCAGACAGAAGUUAGCUCGGUUCAACGCCCAUGAGUUUGCCACGCUGGUCAUUGACAUUCUCAGUGACGCCAAGAGGAGACAGCAGGGCAGUUCUCUCUCGGGUUCAAAAGACAAUGUGGAGCUCAUACUGAAAACCAUCAAUAACCAGCACAGCGUUGAGAGUCAAGACAACGAUCAGCCCGACUAUGACAGCGUGGCAUCAGACGAAGACACAGAUUUGGAAACCACUGCAAGCAAAACAAACCGGCAGAAGGUGAGAGGCCAUGCGUCCCAUGGAAGGGCAAGCACGCAUCAGCUGAGGGCUAGCCCUGCCAAAGCUGCUGUGCAGUGAGGUUGGGUUUGUUACUAGCUCAGGCCAAGCAAAGGUGAAACAAGGUUAAAUGGUUUUAAAAUAGGGAUCCUUGUCCCUGCAUCACAGCCCUGCUGCAGUUGAGACUUUAUAAAACUUGUGAGGAGUGAUUGGUGUGUUUUAUUCAUUCAACAAGUGUUUACUGAGUGACUUCUCUGGAUAUUACUCUCCUGAAUGAGGCCUCGUCCCUUUCCUGUGAGGCUCUCAUUGCCUAGGAGAGAGAGAACUGCGGAGAAGGCACAAAGUGAUGUGUGUCAUACGAAGCACACACAGGCUGAGGGAGUGAGCAGAGAGAGAAUCUAUGGCUGGGAGCAUC